GCCUGGCUGGCUCGGUCAGUAGAGCAUGUGACUCUUGAUCUUGGGGUUGUGGGUUCGAGCACCCAUGCUGGGUG
RNAcentral lists this transfer RNA (74 nucleotides) under Ailuropoda melanoleuca (giant panda). It matches the Rfam family "tRNA". Rfam says of the family: Transfer RNA (tRNA) molecules are approximately 80 nucleotides in length. The record is from Rfam by way of RNAcentral. Lineage: Eukaryota; Metazoa; Chordata; Mammalia; Carnivora; Ursidae.